AGUCACUGACAUUAGAUACCCCUGUAGUCCUAGCCGUAAACGAUACUCGCUAGGUGUCGGCCACGGUGCGACCGUUGUCGGUGCCGUAGGGAAGCCGUGAAGCGAGCCACCUGGGAAGUACGGCCGCAAGGCUGAAACUUAAAGGAAUUGGCGGGGGAGCACCGCAACGGGAGGAGCGUGCGGUUCAAUUGGAUUCAACGCCGGACAACUCACCAGGAGCGACGGUUACAUGAAGGCCAGGCUGAUGACCUUGCCUGAUUUUCCG
RNAcentral lists this ribosomal RNA (265 nucleotides) under uncultured archaeon. Its description in RNAcentral is "partial 16S ribosomal RNA". It matches the Rfam family "Archaeal small subunit ribosomal RNA", at positions 718 to 982 of the family's 1478-position model. The record is from RNAcentral.